AGUACCCUGACCUCUGCGCUCUGCGCCCGCCGCUGGGUUCUGGCAGAACUAAUUUGACUGUAUAAAGACCAGAAAGACCGGCAGUUUUCUUCAACUACUCAGCUUACUGCAGUUGUGAAAAGUCUCAAUCAGCAUCUUCAAACAUAGCGCCUACACCAUGCUCGCUCCCUCGCACACGCUGUCUCUCUCCUUCUGGAAUUACAAUUAGGUGUAAAAACUGAUGAACAGAAAUCUCAAUUAAAAGAGAGUUGGGAGACCAGACAGGGAACUUCUCGUGCCCUCCAAUACUAGCAGAGCCCUGCAGGAGGAAGAGACUCCCUCCUCUUGUCGGGUCUGCUCUGAAUUCAACAGUGGUUUUCUUCAGGAUGUGGUUUUCUUCAGAGCACUGGAGCUUUGGUUUCUCUUGCUCUGCCACUUCUCAGUCAACAUAAUACAAACUACAGUUGACCCUUGAACAACUGAGGGAUUGGGCCCCCCAACCUCCCCAAACAGUCGAAAAUCCAAAUGUAAACUUUGCAGUUGGCUCUCAUAUCUGAGUUUCCUCAUUCUUGGAUUCAACCAACUGAGGAUCAGAUUGUGUUGUCCUGUAGUAUAUAUUUAGUGAAAAAAAUCCAUGUGUAAAUGAACUGACCCUGUUCAAACCUGUGUUGUUCCAGGGUUAACUGUGUUUUUCAUCAUCUGUACAAUUAAUCGUCCCACACAAUCACUUUUUCCAUCAUCGAGAAAUUCCUCGAGAAGUCUUAUCUGUUCAUGGAAUCCUUUCUUAUUUUAUAAUGCUACUGUGAAUUUCUUCCCAGAUUUUAAGGGAUUGGGGGCAUAAAGGGAAGGGAGUGCAUGUGUUUGGCCUGUCAUGUCUACCUGCUCUCUGGCUUUGAUGUUCAAAUGUAACAUAUCAAGACUAGAAGCAAAGGGCUUCUGAUUAAAAAUGGUGAAUUAGCAAGUAUUUAUCUCCUUUAUCUCAUAAAGCAAAAUCACUAAACUUUAUCACUAAAGCAAAAAUACAUGAAUUAAAAA
Camelus dromedarius (Arabian camel) is the source of this 1014-nucleotide long non-coding RNA. RefSeq lists it as uncharacterized. The transcript has 4 exons. NCBI's taxonomy places the organism in Eukaryota, Metazoa, Chordata, Mammalia, Artiodactyla, Camelidae. The record is from RefSeq and is a predicted model, not a curated record.